AUGCGGCUGGAGCGUGCAGGGAAUGGGGGAGGCAGCGCCGUGGGGCGAGGAGAAGCGAACGCAGCUGAGCUGGCGGGCCCGCUGAUGGCAUGCGCAGCCGAUGGGGGAGGAGAAGCGAGCGCUUUGCCUGGAGGUCCCACGGAGGUGAAGCGCGAGCAGCGGCAGGAGGAGAAGCGAGUGGAUGUCUCCGACUUCACCGCCCGAGCAAUCGCAUGCUGCCACGUCUUCACCUACACGUUCUUCAGCGUCCUCGGGACCCCAGUCUGGCGUUGGCGCAUUCAUGUCAUCGUCUCACUCUGCUGCGGUAGAUUCCACGUCAGGAUCUUCUGGUCACACGAGCUGAUGAGCACCACAGAAGAUCCAUCAUCAGCUCAGAAUAAUGACGAUGACGAUGAUGAUGAUGAUGAUGAUGAUGAUGAUGAUGAUGAUGAUGAUGAUGAUGAUGGUCCUCCUCGUCCUCGCACAAGUGUGUGGAAUCAGAAAGGAGAAGGUCUACACUGAUGGUACAGUA
This 511-nucleotide long non-coding RNA is filed under the name Oryza sativa Indica Group (long-grained rice). RNAcentral describes it as "lncRNA OsZS97_02G012910". Lineage: Eukaryota; Viridiplantae; Streptophyta; Magnoliopsida; Poales; Poaceae. The record is from RNAcentral.